Molecule: long non-coding RNA, 216 nt
Filed under: Sorghum bicolor (sorghum)
Lineage: Eukaryota; Viridiplantae; Streptophyta; Magnoliopsida; Poales; Poaceae
Description: long non-coding RNA (SBIC_LNC016272)
Source: RNAcentral
GCACGGAUAUCGGUGAGCACUUCACCCGGGAGAUUAUCCAGAGUAUCGUAUUUAUUUGUUUACCACUACGAGAAAGAGUGCAUCUGAGUAACCCGGUCUAUUACUACUAACCCUUUAGGCUACAAAGAAUGCUUCUCGAUGUGAGUGAUAAAUAGAGAAGACUACAACCGUAAUCUCCUUCUAACCUUUGUAAGGAUGAUCUACUGUUCUAUUGGG